UACGGAGGAUGCGAGCGUUAUCCGGAUUUAUUGGGUUUAAAGGGUGCGUAGGCGGACUGUCAAGUCAGCGGUAAAAUACGGGGGCUCAACCUCCGCCCGCCGUUGAAACUGACGGUCUUGAGUGGGCGAGAAGUAUGCGGAAUGCGUGGUGUAGCGGUGAAAUGCAUAGAUAUCACGCAGAACUCCGAUUGCGAAGGCAGCAUACCGGCGCCCAACUGACGCUGAAGCGCGAAAGCGUGGGUAUCGAACAGG
RNAcentral lists this ribosomal RNA (252 nucleotides) under uncultured bacterium. RNAcentral's name for it is "partial 16S ribosomal RNA". It matches the Rfam family "Bacterial small subunit ribosomal RNA", at positions 524 to 776 of the family's 1533-position model. The record is from RNAcentral.